RNAcentral lists this ribosomal RNA (465 nucleotides) under uncultured bacterium. Its description in RNAcentral is "partial 16S ribosomal RNA". It matches the Rfam family "Bacterial small subunit ribosomal RNA", at positions 28 to 507 of the family's 1533-position model. The record is from RNAcentral.
GACGAACGCUGGCGGCGUGCUUAACACAUGCAAGUCGAACGGAAAGGCCCCUUUGGGGGUACUCGAGUGGCGAACGGGUGAGUAACACGUGAGUAACCUGCCCUUGACUUCGGGAUAACUUCAGGAAACUGGGGCUAAUACCGGAUAGGAAUCCUUGCUGCAUGGUGGGGGUUGGAAAGCUUCGGCGGUUUUGGAUGGACUCGCGGCUUAUCAGCUUGUUGGUGGGGUAGUGGCUUACCAAGGCUUUGACGGGUAGCCGGCCUGGGGGGGCGACCGGCCACAUUGGGACUGAGAUACGGCCCAGACUCCUACGGGGGGCAGCAGGGGGGAAUAUUGCACAAUGGGCGGAAGCCUGAUGCAGCAACGCCGCGUGCGGGAUGACGGCCUUCGGGUUGUAAACCGCUUUCAGCAGGGGCGAAGCUUGUGGUGACGGUACCUGCAGAAGAAGCACCGGCUAACUACGUG